This 64-nucleotide transfer RNA is filed under the name Bathypolypus sponsalis. RNAcentral describes it as "tRNA-Cys". Lineage: Eukaryota; Metazoa; Mollusca; Cephalopoda; Octopoda; Octopodidae. The record is from RNAcentral.
GGUUUUAUAUUUUAUAAUAAAAUAUUAAAUUGCAAAUUUAAAGAUACAAAAAUUGUUAAAACUU